Molecule: transfer RNA, 69 nt
Filed under: Platisus zelandicus
Lineage: Eukaryota; Metazoa; Arthropoda; Insecta; Coleoptera; Cucujidae
Description: tRNA-Val
Source: RNAcentral
CAAAUUAGAACUUGAAUAAGUAUUUUAUUUACAUUAAAAAAAUGAUUGUUUUAAAUCAAUUUAAUUUGA